Molecule: ribosomal RNA, 164 nt
Filed under: Eriophyllum lanatum
Lineage: Eukaryota; Viridiplantae; Streptophyta; Magnoliopsida; Asterales; Asteraceae
Also listed under: 3 other names
Description: 5.8S ribosomal RNA
Rfam family: 5.8S ribosomal RNA
About the family: 5.8S ribosomal RNA (5.8S rRNA) is a component of the large subunit of the eukaryotic ribosome. It is transcribed by RNA polymerase I as part of the 45S precursor that also contains 18S and 28S rRNA.
Source: RNAcentral
UAAACGACUCUCGGCAACGGAUAUCUCGGCUCACGCAUCGAUGAAGAACGUAGCAAAAUGCGAUACUUGGUGUGAAUUGCAGAAUCCCGUGAACCAUCGAGUUUUUGAACGCAAGUUGCGCCCGAAACCUUUUGGUUGAGGGCACGUCUGCCUGGGCGUCACGC